RNAcentral lists this unclassified non-coding RNA (1374 nucleotides) under uncultured Neocallimastigales. Its description in RNAcentral is "partial contains small subunit ribosomal RNA, internal transcribed spacer 1, 5.8S ribosomal RNA, internal transcribed spacer 2, and large subunit ribosomal RNA". The stretch from base 618 to 1374 matches the Rfam family "Eukaryotic large subunit ribosomal RNA", at positions 1 to 616 of the family's 3401-position model. The record is from RNAcentral. Lineage: Eukaryota; Fungi; Neocallimastigomycota; Neocallimastigomycetes; Neocallimastigales.
UUUCCGUAGGUGAACCUGCGGAAGGAUCAUUAAAAAAUGAGACCUCUGAUUUAGGGUCUAUUAAUAAUCCUACCCUUUGUGAAUUUGUUUGUUUUUAAUUUGUGUCUUUCCCUGUUUUUUGAUGGAGCUUGUUAAAAAGCAAAAUCAAAUGCAGGGGAAUGGCAAAACCUUUUUUAAAAUUAAACAUUUUGUAUUCAUUUGUCUAAAAAUUAUUUUUAUAAUAUAAAAACAACUUUUGACAAUGGAUCUCUUGGUUCUCGCAACGAUGAAGAACGCAGCAAAAUGCGAUAAGUAAUGUGAAUUGCAGAAUACGUGAAUCAUCGAAUCUUCGAACGCAUAUUGCACUUUUUUGGUUUACCAAAAAAGUAUGUCUGUUUGAGUAUCAGUACAAUAUACUCAUAAAAACUUUUGUUUUUAUGGUUAUGAGUGUUUUACAACGAUAAACAAGUUGUUUCACUUUAAAUUCUUUGUCUUUUAAAAAAUCAUUUAAAAACUGAUUUUUUUUUAAAAUUGGAUAAAAUUUUCCCGUAAAAAGGAAUAACCUAAACAAUUUUAAUAAAUGAAUUAGUUUGAUUUUUUAAAAAAAGACCAAAAGGAAAAAAAAGUAAAAAUUAACUUGAUCUCAAAUCAGAUAAGAGUACCCGCUGAACUUAAGCAUAUCAAUAAGCGGAGGAAAAGAAACUAACUAGGAUUCCCUCAGUAACGGCGAGUGAAGCGGGAAGAGCUCAAAUUUGAAAUCUUCAAGGUUCUACCUUGACGAAUUGUAGUUUAAAGAAGUGUUUUCUGUUGGAGUUUUGGUAAAAGUUCUUUGGAAUAGGACAUCAUAGAGGGUGAGAAUCCCGUAUUUGACCAUUAUUUCCAACUUUGUGAUACACUUUCAAAGAGUCGGAUUGUUUGGGAAUGCAGUCCAAAAUGGGUGGUAAAUUUCAUCUAAAGCUAAAUACUGGCGAGAGACCGAUAGCGAACAAGUACCGUGAGGGAAAGAUGAAAAGAACUUUGAAAAGAGAGUUAAACAGUACGUGAAAUUGUCAAAAGGGAAGCGUUUGACACCAGUGUUGUUUUCUCGAAAAUCAAUUAAAAAUGGUUGGAUGUUGUGUUGUAUUGACUUUAUCAGCUUUCUGCACUUUUUUUCCUAUCUUUUUUAAUGCACUUUUCGUCUAACAAGUCACAUCAAUUUCUUUUGUUGUAAAAGAGUCAUUGGAAGGUGGCUUUCUUUUCGGAGAAAGUGUUUAUAGCCUUUGGCUUCUGCAAUCGGAGAGAUUGAGGUCUGCAGCGUAGAUCCUUCGGGGUUAGAUGUAUUUGUGCUAAGUUAUAGCCUUUCAUAGACAACUUGUUGACUAUGAUCAGUCAUGUAGCUUACUCGCUUAUGCAUUU